RNAcentral lists this ribosomal RNA (253 nucleotides) under uncultured bacterium. Its description in RNAcentral is "partial 16S ribosomal RNA". It matches the Rfam family "Bacterial small subunit ribosomal RNA", at positions 524 to 776 of the family's 1533-position model. The record is from RNAcentral.
GACAGAGGGUGCAAACGUUGUUCGGAAUUACUGGGCGUAAAGCGCGUGUAGGCUGCUCGGAAAGUCGGAUGUGAAAGCCCUGGGCUUAACCCAGGAAGUGCAUUCGAAACUUCCAAGCUCGAGUCCUGGAGAGGGUGGCGGAAUUCUCGGUGUAGAGGUGAAAUUCGUAGAUAUCGAGAGGAACACCGGCGGCGAAGGCGGCCACCUGGACAGUGACUGACGCUGAGACGCGAAAGCGUGGGGAGCAAACAGG